RNAcentral lists this ribosomal RNA (427 nucleotides) under uncultured bacterium. RNAcentral's name for it is "bacterial SSU rRNA". It matches the Rfam family "Bacterial small subunit ribosomal RNA", at positions 355 to 774 of the family's 1533-position model. The record is from RNAcentral.
UGGGGAAUAUUGCACAAUGGGCGCAAGCCUGAUGCAGCCGUGCCGCGUGUAUGAAGAAGGCCUUCGGGUUGUAAAGUACUUUCAGCGAGGAGGAAGGCAUUGUGGUUAAUAACCACAGUGAUUGACGUUACUCGCAGAAGAAGCACCGGCUAACUCCGUGCCAGCAGCCGCGGUAAUACGGAGGGUGCAAGCGUUAAUCGGAAUUACUGGGCGUAAAGCGCACGCAGGCGGUCUGUCAAGUCGGAUGUGAAAUCCCCGGGCUCAACCUGGGAACUGCAUUCGAAACUGGCAGGCUAGAGUCUUGUAGAGGGGGGUAGAAUUCCAGGUGUAGCGGUGAAAUGCGUAGAGAUCUGGAGGAAUACCGGUGGCGAAGGCGGCCCCAUGGGCAAAGACUGACGCUCAGGUGCGAAAGCGGGGGGAGAAAACA